UAGCCGUAAACGAUACUCGCUAGGUGUCGGCCACGGUGCGACCGUUGUCGGUGCCGUAGGGAAGCCGUGAAGCGAGCCACCUGGGAAGUACGGCCGCAAGGCUGAAACUUAAAGGAAUUGGCGGGGGAGCACAACAACGGGUGGAGCUCGCGGUUUAAUUGGAUUCAACGCCGGAAAUCUUACCGGGACCGACAGCAACAUGAAGGCCAAGCUGAAGACUUUGCCGGAUUAGCUGAGAGGAGGUGCAUGGCGUAGUCGUGU
RNAcentral lists this ribosomal RNA (261 nucleotides) under uncultured archaeon. RNAcentral's name for it is "partial 16S ribosomal RNA". It matches the Rfam family "Archaeal small subunit ribosomal RNA", at positions 748 to 1009 of the family's 1478-position model. The record is from RNAcentral.